UACGUAGGUGGCGAGCGUUGUCCGGAUUUACUGGGCGUAAAGGGAGCGUAGGCGGACUUUUAAGUGAGAUGUGAAAUACUCGGGCUCAACUUGAGUGCUGCAUUUCAAACUGGAAGUCUAGAGUGCAGGAGAGGAGAAUGGAAUUCCUAGUGUAGCGGUGAAAUGCGUAGAGAUUAGGAAGAACACCAGUGGCGAAGGCGAUUCUCUGGACUGUAACUGACGCUGAGGCUCGAAAGCGUGGGUAUCGAACAGG
Molecule: ribosomal RNA, 253 nt
Filed under: uncultured bacterium
Lineage: Bacteria
Description: partial 16S ribosomal RNA
Rfam family: Bacterial small subunit ribosomal RNA
Source: RNAcentral